GAAUUAUUUCAUUGUUGAUCAUUUAUCCCUUAAUAGACUUAAAUUUUUUUGCUCAUAUCUCCAUAUCCCAAAACUCUCCUCAAGAUUUUCUUGAUGCCCACAACAAAGCUCGUGCAAAAGUUGGGGUGCAGCCCCUCGUAUGGAAUCAAACAGUUGCAGCCUAUGCCCUAAACUAUGCACACAAAAGAUAUGGAGAUUGCAAUUUGGAGCAUUCACAAGGUCCAUAUGGUGAAAACUUGGCCGAGGGGUACGGGAGGUUCUCGUCGGUGGAUGCCGUGAAUAUGUGGGUUGGGGAGAAAUCUUGCUAUGAUUAUGGGUCGAAUUCUUGCGUCGGGGGAGAGUGCUUGCAUUAUACUCAGGUAGUUUGGCGUAACUCGGCUCAUCUUGGUUGUGCUAGAGUUCAGUGUCACAAUGGUUGGUUAUUUGUCAUAUGUAGCUAUGAUCCUCCGGGAAAUUACAUUGGCCAACGUCCUUAUUAAUAGGAUAAUAUUUAAUGGAUGUUGUAAAUCAUGUGUGGUAUCGUGAUGUA
Molecule: long non-coding RNA, 529 nt
Filed under: Olea europaea subsp. europaea
Lineage: Eukaryota; Viridiplantae; Streptophyta; Magnoliopsida; Lamiales; Oleaceae
Source: RNAcentral